This 437-nucleotide ribosomal RNA is filed under the name Planctomycetota bacterium. Its description in RNAcentral is "bacterial SSU rRNA". It matches the Rfam family "Bacterial small subunit ribosomal RNA", at positions 1 to 437 of the family's 1533-position model. The record is from RNAcentral. Lineage: Bacteria; Pseudomonadati; Planctomycetota.
UGAAGGGUUUGAUUCUGGCUCAGAACGAACGUUAGCGGUGUGAAUUAGGCAUGCAAGUCGCGCGUGAAAACCUUCGGGUGAGUAAAGCGGCGAAAGGGUGAGUAACACGUAACCAACCUAUCCUGGAGAUCGGAAUAACCACUGGAAACGGUGGCUAAUGCUGAAUGUCGCCCGUCCGGGGCAUCCCGGACUGUCGAAACGGUGGCGCAAGCUGCUGCUCGAGGAGGGGGUUGCGGGCUAUCAGCUAGUUGGUGGGGUAACGGCCUACCAAGGCGAUGACGGCUACCGGGUCUGAGAGGACGGUCCGGCACACUGGGACUGAGAUACUGCCCAGACUCCUACGGGAGGCUGCAGUCGUGAAUCUUCCGCAAUGGGCGAAAGCCUGACGGAGCGACACCGCGUGCAGGAUGAAGGCCUUCGGGUUGUAAACUGCUGUC